Molecule: long non-coding RNA, 875 nt
Organism: Tupaia belangeri chinensis (Chinese tree shrew)
Lineage: Eukaryota; Metazoa; Chordata; Mammalia; Scandentia; Tupaiidae
Exons: 3
Source: RefSeq, a predicted model, not a curated record
GUGACAAAUCGAGAGGGAGCAUUGCAGACUGGAGCGUUAGUGGGGGGAGAAGAAUCCCUGGAUAAGGUAGACGCGAACCGGGCCUUGAGGCAGCCGGUUCCCGACGAAGGUCACAGGAAUGAUCAAAGAGUGGGCACUUGACCCAAACAGAGCCAAGUUCCAACGUGAAGAUUUUCAAGGACAGCUUCCAAGGGAAAAAGAGUCUUCUCCUCUCUGGAAGGGAGGCCAAGCCCUUGGCGUCUUUGAAGAAGCUAGCAUCCAGUAAGAGAGCAGCCACAGAGAAGAGGUGCAGCACAGGCUUUGGGUCUGCCAGCUCCAUCCUGGAGGCCAGUUGUAUCUUUAUCCUUUCUGGCUUUGAUUACAUGAGCCAGUUUGAAGAUAUCUUCCCUGAAAAUACAAUAUCAAGAUAUUUAUCUAACACCUCUUCCGAACCGUCAGAAAACCUCUCCACUGUCCAAAAGCGACUGGGGCUUUGACAAACUUAAUGACAUACAACCUUCAGUGCUUCCUCUCAUACCAGUGCCAAGAACCUCUCACUUUAUGCCCAGGAGUCUCUCCUUUAGGAUGAAGUUUGGUGCAUCUGGAAACAAGCACAGGCUGGAAACAUAAGGAAAUUUACCUUCAGGAGACCUCCCUCAGUUAAUGCAAGAUGGGGCUAAUGGAUUCAUGUUUCACCCUAUCAUCUUCCAGGAGUGCUGUUCUGAGAUAUAUUUCGUAAGAUCUCUAAAAAGGUCAAUGCAUAGAAAACCAGUUGUCCCAAACUAUGUGAUUAAAUUUGAUAAUGCCUUCUAAUAUUGCCUUUUCCUGCUUCUGUGUUUUCUUCUCCCCACAUUCCCCCUACUGCUUAGCAUCACUUCCCAAAUAAAUACCUGUUU